GAGGUGACGCGACGGGGGUAGGCCGCUCCUGAGCAGCGCGAGGCAACCAGAGCGCAGCUUCGCCGCCCUAAUUUUGGCACCUCGACUUGGGAUCGCGGCCCCCAAACCCAAAUCGACGACCACCGAAGGCACCGCCGAGGCGCCGCCACCCCAUCUUACCUCACCUUCGAACUGAUUAAUUCAUUCCCGUAUGCGGCGUUUACCAACUGCGCUACGUCGACAGUCGGUAAGUCUUGGUUCUAACACGUCCGAGCAUCUAGGGAAGCUGAGGUGUGUCCCUCACUGUCAAGGUUAAGUGUCACUAGUACCCACCGCAGACAAGUUCCUUCGCUUCGGUUAACCACCUCCUACUGCUGCUAAGAGAGGUCUGUGGCUGCUCCAAGAGCUUCUGGUCGUCGAACUUUACCGACGACGAGUGCGACGGGGCGUCGUCGAGGCUAUAGAGGGCAUUCCCUGGUCCCUUCCCGGGACCGGCCACGGGCUGUGAGUACCUCGAGACACAGCGGUUUCAGACGUUCCUAUAGUCGUUCAUAAGAUGAAAACGAUACGACGGCUCACUAGAGUCGGUCGUCCAAAAGCUACUUGACCACCUGAGCUUGACGGAGUGCCUCCUUAGCGAACUUUGGAAAGCCCUAACACGCGACGUACUGUAAACAAACCCCCUCAUAGGACCUCAAUUCCUACGGACCUACCUUCAUCACCGAAGUGUUUCCGUCAGUAAUAACAGGCAACUGUAAAGAACGAGACUUCAAUGACUAUCACCGAAUUUAAAAGAAUCACUAACGAGUUUGUACGUUUCGAACAGUACAUUAAUGACACUUGUACAGAGUCUUGUACCGGAACCUCAAAACAGUCCAAAGAGUUUGAACUGUAGAAAUUCAAAGUUCUCUUCACUGCCACAAUGACGAUUUCCUUACUCACACAAACGUUUAAAUCAAUUAAACCAUUUAGAACUGGAGCUCGCUACGGACUUCUAAGUACCACCGGAACAAGUAUACUUUCCGGACUCUUUCGACCUCAGUGAAUUAUACUCUAUAACAUUGAUGUAAUGCCUAAGUCUAUAGUUCAUAAAUAGUCUAGAGUGUUUAAACUUCCUUGACGUUAACAGAAGAACAUCUUAAUGUCUGGACCCAUAAAGAAUAGAAUGUCCGAACAGGUUCAAUUGUGUGGAUUUAAACCUCUCGACAGGUCACUGGCGACGAACGAACCUUCGAUAGAGUCCUAACCGAAGUGACUACAACAACUUAAACUUAGCCACACCGUAUAUACUACUUCCGACACUUUCGAAACUUCUAGAAUUUUUUAACUUCCAGAAUUUAAACCCGAAAUUGGUAUAAUGUCUACGUACAAACCACGUAGACUUUCCUAAUUAGUUAAACCUCAGGAACUUGGACCUAAGUACGUUCUAGCCUCUACUUCCAGAUAAUGUAGACUUCCCGGAACACAAUAACUGUUCGAACCUCGAAAGACUGUGACGUUAACCUUCGUUACCCGAGGCCGUAGAAAGACUAGAAGCCUUAAACAUGUCGUAUUUAGAGAGUAAAUGUAACCAGUGUCUGUGGCCGUACUUCUUCUAAAGGUGUAACUUAAGUGACUUCAGUCAAUUAGAACUGUUAGCGGACUAUUGACUACAACCGAAUCGUCGUGAGUAUCCAGAAUGACCCAACUGAGUGGAACUGGAAAAACCUCGAGCCCACUGACUGGUACCCUGUUCGAAGAACUCUAUAAAGUUCUUAGAGCUCAGGGAACUCCAUACGCCACCCAGUUAGUGACUACGACCUCACUUCUUAUAGUUCCUGGAGUUUCGAGACUGCGAGGAGUUGGAAAGCGUUUUACCGUUCGACUGUCUGUUUUGGGACCUCGACUAAAGACCGAACUGGCGAAACUAGACGAACUUACAGAGGUUGAGGGCCCACAGGUUGUGGCCAGAGGCAGUGGACUUCCGCGACGUCUUGAACGCGAGCGACUGCGACCUAAGCACGUCCCACUGUCGCUUGCUCUACUUCUUCGAGUCCCACUGUCGCGAGGGGUUAGACUAUUCACAAGCCGGACUCAUCAGAGGUACCGCGGGUCAUGGAGGACAUGCCGUUUGGCGGAUAGGGCGGGAGUAGUACCUGCACUCACUCGCCGACUAGCCCGGGGUUCUGGUACCAAGGCGUCCGGGCACGGUAUCAAAAAAAAAGGACAAUAAAUGCGUCCAAAAGAGAGAUGACAUUCAAGAAGCAAACUUCGCUGCUUUUUGGUGCUGACGAUAGGAUAAAGAAGAAAACAAGGUACGGCUUGGUGCCCGUCCUUGUUUUAACAUUUAUAGUGCGAAGGAGCGGUACACCCCAACAUUCGGGGCUCGGCGAGGGCGCUCGCAGGAGCCCCCUUUGGGAUCGCGCGGCGGGGAGCAGGAGGGAGCAGCUAGAGAGGGGGGCGGCGGUGGCGUGUCGCGGCGGCCCGUUUCUGGCUGGCCGCAACCACCGCCGCCCCUAGAACGGGGAGAGGAGCGCCAACCGCAGGUCGCGCUCUGCCGCGACCCGACCCGCCCCGGGUCGCCGCGCCGCCUCCCGCACGACCCACCGCCGCCACGUCGACGCCGAACUCCGGGGAGGUUGCACGCCGCCGACGCCGAAGAGACCUCCGCCGCGCUCAAUAGGGCCGCCGCCGAACCGCCGCACCCGCGCCGCCUCGAGACCGCUACUGAGCCGCCGCCCGACCUUCCGAUCCGUGGCAGGUCACCACGACGGAGGCGCCGCCAACGCCGAACCCCGGGAACUGGGGCUAGGCUAGACCUAGACCACCACGGACCCAGAUCCGGUACCGCCGACCGCUCCGUACCCUUAGCAGCCCCGAACAGCCGGAGAUCCGUGGUACCCCCACGACCUCUGCUGCGCACGGGCCGCACCACUGCGACCAUCUGCACCACCAGUAGAAGUAGGGCUCUACCGGCCGGUCUCCGAACCACUAGCCUAGAGCUCUAGGUAGUAGAACAGGGCCGACGCUCAUCCCCUCUGUACCAACGGCCACUUUUGGCUCGGCUGCCGUCCGCUACCGCCGCAAGAGCGGCAAUGGAACUACCUCCGUAGCAGCACAUUGAUGACAGCUGGGUGAGCACAACGAGGCCCCCUUUGGGAUCCUAGACCACAAGGUCUAGCCUGCUACCGCCGUGACGCCGCAGCAAAGAGAGAACCCUCGUAGCAAACGCCUCGUCGCGACCUACAGUCUCCGUCCUCCACCUCGCCGAAGCAGAACGUACCUCGAAGCCACCACUACAGUUCAGUACGGACUGGCUGUCCACGAUGCGAAACAGUACGGACCAGCCGUCCACGAUGCGUGCUGUCUAGAAGGUUCCUGAAGUUCGACACAGCCGACCACCAUGGACCGUCGUACCGCGACUCCACAUAGUCACCGCUGGCGCUGCACGAGUCGACAAACGCGCGUCCCUCCUCCACGGCAAACCGCGGCACCACCGCAGCUGCUAUCGAUCUGGCUCAUUCCAACUUCGUAGUCAUGUCAAGACUUCUACCUCGCCACCGUCAACUGCCGCCGUCGUCGACUCACGUGCGGCCUGGCCACUCUAAGUACAGGCCGUCCGCAGGACCUACCCUAGAGUCCAGAAUCUACAAUCCAAAUCGACGCUACAGACAAACCAUAAUCCGGGUCCGAUAGAUGCGGGGAAGUAGUCGACCUAUCUCCACGAAUCUGCCGCCGAAAUCAGAAUGACAACAUAAUGAAACAUUCCAGAACACUCUUAUUAAUUAUUUCACCGGCAUACGUAGCGGAUCUACGACUCCGGCCCCAAUAGGAGGAAAAUUUUUUUAUAUCCCAAUCAUAUACAUUAACCCACAAUGUCUAAGAAAAAAGUGCUUAUACGCGUCUCGAAUAGUAAGGUAAGGUAACUAACUAUCUUCCUUUCUUUCAUGUCAACGCCUGGAGUAUUUCGCAUGUGCUCCGCGAAUGCUCCAGCGAUACUCGUCUCCUACCCUACGAGUCGGGAGUGUACUGUUUCAGUUCAAUGUGCUUACUAGCUUGACUCGAUUAAGAAAACAACCGAAAAAAUCCGAAGGUCUUAUUCGAUGGAGGAUGGAUCGAAUAAGAUCUUCGGCCUAGUUAAAAAAAAAUUUGGAUGAUCAGUUCAGAAUUGAUAAUCCAAAUUUUUUUUAUUAAAAUCAACCCGAAGAUCUUAUUCGACCCAUCUUCCAUCGAAUAAAGUCAAAUAAGAUUUUCGAUCGUUUUCUUAACCGGGAGGGAGUCUCAUGGCCGUAACCGGAUCCACGCUCGAAGGAGGAACUACAGCACGUGGUCCUCCCUACACUUACCACGUUGUGGUAGGUUCUACGUUCACAACGUCACGGAGGUUUACCAGAUCUGUCAUUUACGCUACUCUCAACAACACGGAAACACGACCGAACGACCCCUCAGUACCUUUCGGCAACGGGUGGUUAGUAUCUUCAGGUGCUACGGUAGUUCACCAACACAUCAUUCCGCCGUGGUCUUCUCUUACAGCAUGGUUUGGUACGCCCUGUGUUACGUAGGCUGUUCGUCUACUACGUACCAGAGGAGGAGAACCAGCAUUUCUCGUGUACGUGUUCACGCACCAUCCGGCACCGCCCGAUCUGUGUGCCUUCAGGUCGUUACUAGUUCUGGCCGUUCGGUCUCCUUCUAGAACUAGGGGAGGCCACGGGUCCCGAAGGUCCACUCCGAGGUUCAUCC
This 4698-nucleotide ribosomal RNA is filed under the name Triticum aestivum (bread wheat). RNAcentral's name for it is "partial small subunit ribosomal RNA". Lineage: Eukaryota; Viridiplantae; Streptophyta; Magnoliopsida; Poales; Poaceae. The record is from RNAcentral.